AAUCCGCAAUAACUUUUUACUGGGUGUACCGAUUUUAAUGAUUUUUAAUUUAAUCGAAAGCCGAUGUUUAUCAUGUGGUCACAUUUAAAUUUCAUCGAGAUCUGAUAACUACUUUUUGAGUAAUCUUUGAUAAUGCGUUGUUACUUGACUAUUUUUUCGUCGAUCUACGUUGUAUUAUACGAUGAUAUAUAUAUAUACGAUGUAAUUGAAGUCGGUUUUUUUUUCGUUUGCGAGCAAACACAAUU
Molecule: unclassified non-coding RNA, 245 nt
Filed under: Melitaea cinxia (Glanville fritillary)
Lineage: Eukaryota; Metazoa; Arthropoda; Insecta; Lepidoptera; Nymphalidae
Description: misc RNA ENSMCXG00005001193.1
Source: RNAcentral